UUCUAUAGUCAUACCACUUUGAAUGCAUUGUUUUUCAUCUGACCUCAGAAACUAAGCAGGGUUGGGCCUGGUUAGACUCGGAUGGGAGAAAAUACUACAAGUUCAGGUGAAGGUGAUUGGGGAUA
Molecule: ribosomal RNA, 125 nt
Filed under: Nannospalax galili (Upper Galilee mountains blind mole rat)
Lineage: Eukaryota; Metazoa; Chordata; Mammalia; Rodentia; Spalacidae
Source: RNAcentral